GCCAAACGGCCAUAGCACCCUGAACAAGUCUUGAUCUCAUCUGAUCUCAGAAGCUAAGCACGGUCGGGCCUGGUUAGUACUUGGAUGGGAGACCACCUAGGAAGACCAGGUGGUGUAGGCA
This 121-nucleotide ribosomal RNA is filed under the name Pteropus vampyrus (large flying fox). The record is from RNAcentral. Lineage: Eukaryota; Metazoa; Chordata; Mammalia; Chiroptera; Pteropodidae.